Long non-coding RNA from Daphnia magna, 1034 nucleotides. RefSeq lists it as uncharacterized. The transcript is spliced from 3 exons. The record is from RefSeq and is a predicted model, not a curated record. Lineage: Eukaryota; Metazoa; Arthropoda; Branchiopoda; Diplostraca; Daphniidae.
UAACACGAAUUGCGUCUUCAGCGCGCUGGAGCAGCAUCUGCCCACUGGAGUUGGCUUUAGUUUUGCGGACCUCUGUCAACUGAUUAAUUAAACGUUGACGCCGCGAUUCCAAAUGACCAAGCCCGGAGUUUCUUCGCCACCGAAAGCAACUGAUUAUAAUUCACCACACCCUCCACCUUAGAUCCAAAAAGAAGAUGAAAAAGGAAGGACAGUUUGAAUUUCAAGUCGUCUCACUUUGCGUUGAGUACGUUCAAUUCGACGAAUCAAAACUUCUCUAUCAUCUUCCAUCGAUUGGAGAUCUUUACGAAGGUCGAUGACGGUGUCAUUUACAAUUUGGCUUGCUUCGAAUUGCUUAUGCCUCUGUUUGAACUCUUCAAUCAGGAAUUCGUACUGUAAUCGAUCGAUAUAAUUUGAAAGAUAACCGGUGUUUUGGUUCUGUAAAAUUAUUUUCUCACCUGUUCGUAUAGAUCGAGUACGUCACUAUCUGAUCGCAUCUCAGGUGCGAUGUCAAUUUUGACGAGAUAACGAGAGAGAUAGGCUCGUUUCUUCAGCUCUUCCCUGCGCUGAAGUAGCCAAUUCAGUAUUGGGUUAAUUUUUUCCGGUCGACCUGAUAUCAAACCUUCACGAAAAUCAUUACUGUGCGCAAGGACGGGAAAAAAGGGGUUUGAAUUUGAAAAUUUGCAAAGAGGUUAACAAACGCAGAGCCAAAGCAUCGACGGGCUCAUCACUGAUAUCGACGCGAUUUUUAGAUUCAAUUUCACACAAGACAUCACUAAGAAGCUUUGAUUGAAAUCGUGGUAAUGCCAAGAGAAAAAUGUUAUUAGAUCACAUGUAUAUUUCUUUAAAAAUAUAACUUGUAUGAUUAUCCGUACUUGCAGUAGCUGAGGGGGAUGAAGGGCGUUAAACGUGACACUCGUCAAGUUUAAAUUGAAAGGUGGUUGGUUUAAUUCGUUGACAAUCAUUUUUACUAACUGUGCCAUGUUAACAACGGCAGCACGAUUAAAAACAGCAAUAUUAACACGAAUUAUUCGGAA